GACGAACGCUGGCGGCGUGCUUAACACAUGCAAGUCGAACGGAAAGGCCUCUUUCGGGGGUACUCGAGUGGCGAACGGGUGAGUAACACGUGAGUAACCUGCCCUUGACUUUGGGAUAACUUCAGGAAACUGGGGCUAAUACCGGAUAGGAGCUCCUGCUGCAUGGUGGGGGUUGGAAAGUUUCGGCGGUUGGGGAUGGACUCGCGGCUUAUCAGCUUGUUGGUGGGGUAGUGGCUUACCAAGGCUUUGACGGGAAGCCGGCCUGAGAGGGUGACCGGCCACAUUGGGACUGAGAUACGGCCCAGACUCCUACGGGAGGCAGCAGUGGGGAAUAUUGCACAAGGGGUGGAAGCCUGAUGCAGCAACGCCGUGUGCGGGAUGACGGCCUUCGGGUUGUAAACCGCUUUCGCUCAUGACGAAGCUUUGUGUGACGGUAGUGGGUAAAGAAGCACCGGCUAACUACGUG
RNAcentral lists this ribosomal RNA (466 nucleotides) under uncultured bacterium. RNAcentral describes it as "partial 16S ribosomal RNA". It matches the Rfam family "Bacterial small subunit ribosomal RNA", at positions 28 to 507 of the family's 1533-position model. The record is from RNAcentral.